RNAcentral lists this ribosomal RNA (253 nucleotides) under uncultured bacterium. RNAcentral describes it as "partial 16S ribosomal RNA". It matches the Rfam family "Bacterial small subunit ribosomal RNA", at positions 524 to 776 of the family's 1533-position model. The record is from RNAcentral.
UACGUAGGGGGCAAGCGUUGUCCGGAAUUAUUGGGCGUAAAGCGCGUGUAGGCGGCUCGGUAAGUCUGCUGUGAAAGUCCGGGGCUCAACCCCGGGAGGCGGGCGGAUACUGUCGGGCUAGAGUCCGGAAGAGGCGAGUGGAAUUCCUGGUGUAGCGGUGGAAUGCGCAGAUAUCAGGAGGAACACCGAUGGCGAAGGCAGCUCGCUGGGACGGUACUGACGCUGAGGCGCGAAAGCGUGGGGAGCGAACAGG